GGAGUGGGUUGCCAUUUCCUUCUCCAGGGGAUCUUCCUGACCCAGGGAUUGAACCCAGGUCUCCCACUUUGUAGGCAGCCGCUUUACCGUCUGAGCCACCGGGGAAGCCCAGGGAUUCCUAGACUAACAGCUUGCAAGCCUCCGUUUCCCAGUCUUUACACAGCUCCUUAGAAUCUGCUGCAGAUGAAAUGAGAAGCUUAGGAGGGUAGUCCUUGGAUGUGGACUUUCUGAGCCAGGAUUUGAAAACUCGAUGGGUCAUCAGAUUGUCCUCCAUGAUCCUGUCCACGCUGGAGGUGACCACUCUGUAAUGUUUCAGCCAAUUUGAUAGGUGGAAAACAUCUCUCAGUCUCCCUGCAUUGUCCUGAUCACUAGCGGCGCUAACACCUUCUAGAAAGCUAAGCCGUUAUCACGUGCUGCCACGGAAACAGCUUAGAACUACACAUGCCAACCUUUGCACAGGAAAAAACAAACUGCGGCAAGGCCAUAACAUCCCGGGAUUCGCUGCAGAUGCAUUUAGGUGGUGGGUCUACAAGGUCUCCACAAUUAACAUGUGCUACUUUAAUUUUAUUUUCUGAACAUUAUCUUGAAGUAUAAUGUAUCCACAGAAAAGCACCCAUGUUAUAAAAUGCCCAGCUUUAUAGCUUUUCACAAACUGAACCUACCUGUGUAGUCAACAUCCCAUCAAGAAACCUCACCAGCGUCCUAGAAGUCACCUUCGGGUGACCCGACCCCAGGUCCCCACCUCCCGCCCUGGGAUCACCCCACCCGCUCUCCUGAUUAAAACACCAGAGAUGUGUCCUCCCUGUUUCUAAACUUGGUAC
Bubalus bubalis (water buffalo) is the source of this 821-nucleotide long non-coding RNA. RefSeq lists it as uncharacterized. NCBI's taxonomy places the organism in Eukaryota, Metazoa, Chordata, Mammalia, Artiodactyla, Bovidae. The record is from RefSeq and is a predicted model, not a curated record. The transcript has 2 exons.